AUUUAUUUGACUUGUUUGCAUCCCUGAACUAGAAUGUAAGCUCUGUGAGGGCAAGGCCUUCCUCUGUCUCAUUUCCCUGCUGUAUCCCCAGUACCUGGAAUAGUGCUUGGUGUGUAGCAGGCACUCAAUAAACUGUGGAAAGGAUGAAGACGUCCCCAGUUGGGGCUGGGGAGGGCGACCAGCUGGCCUGUGCCGUAGCCGGUCACAGCACAUCAUGCUCUGUUGCAGGUCACUGCAAGGGGAUGCUGCACCCCCUCAAGGUGAAGAGCUGAUUGAGGCUGCUAAGAGGAACGACUUCUGUAAGGUACUAGCUCCAGGCUCCAGUUCCUUCCCCCAGCAGUUCCCUCGGGCCCUGGGGAGCGAGGCCUCUGGGUUGGGCCAAGAGCUGACCUGCUCAGGUGCUGUCAUCUGUCAUCGUCUGGCCCUCUGUGGGAUCUCCAGUGAUCGUCCCAUUCCACUUUGCCGUAUCUCUGUCUAGGCCACAAUAGAUGGCUCCUAGUAGGGGCUUCCUAGCUCAGUCCACCUGUCCCUGGUGCUUAGAAAGGAGCAGGUCAGAGGAAGCACUGCUCCAGGGCUUGGUCACCAGUGCUGCCAGAGAGCCCCACAGGCUGUGGGGUGAGAGGCCCCUCCUCUGGUGCUCCAGAGAGACCCACAGAGGCAACUCGGGAGUAAGAUGUGUGAGCGCACUCGUUUCAGGCCUGUGCUGGUGUACCCAGCUGUGGGCCAGCGU
This 730-nucleotide small RNA is filed under the name Pongo abelii (Sumatran orangutan). RNAcentral describes it as "retained intron". The record is from RNAcentral. Lineage: Eukaryota; Metazoa; Chordata; Mammalia; Primates; Hominidae.